RNAcentral lists this unclassified non-coding RNA (163 nucleotides) under uncultured Basidiomycota. RNAcentral describes it as "sequence contains ITS2". Lineage: Eukaryota; Fungi; Basidiomycota. The record is from RNAcentral.
AGACUCAACCCUCAAGGUUUCCCUUGAAUGGUUGGAUUUGGGCGUCUGCCAUUAAGCCUGGCUCGCCUUAAAUGCGUUAGUGGGACCGUUGCUCUCAUGCCUGGCGUAAUAAGUUUCGCUUGUGCUAGAGCGAUGGGACUGCUCACAACCCCCCAUACUUUGA